Small nuclear RNA from Fukomys damarensis (Damara mole-rat), 103 nucleotides. Lineage: Eukaryota; Metazoa; Chordata; Mammalia; Rodentia; Bathyergidae. The record is from Ensembl.
UUGCUUUAGUAGCAAACAUACUAAACUUGGAAAGAUACAGAGAAAAUUAGCCUGGGCUUUGCAUAAGAAUGAUAUGCACAUUUAUGAACAAUUCUGUUUUUUU